This 583-nucleotide ribosomal RNA is filed under the name Stumpffia miery. RNAcentral's name for it is "partial 12S ribosomal RNA". The stretch from base 1 to 475 matches the Rfam family "Bacterial small subunit ribosomal RNA", at positions 786 to 1533 of the family's 1533-position model. Lineage: Eukaryota; Metazoa; Chordata; Amphibia; Anura; Microhylidae. The record is from RNAcentral.
CCCACUAUGCCCAACCGUAAAAUAUUUACCCACAUCUACAACCGCCAGGGAAUUACAAGCCCCCUUAAAACCCAAAGGACUUGACGGUGUCCCACCCACCUAGAGGAGCCUGUUCUAUAAUCGACACCCCACGAUACACCUCACCACCCCUAGCACACUCAGUCUGUAUACCUCCGUCGCAAGCUUACCAUGUGAACGCCACUAGUGAGCUAAAAGAUCUUCACCCACACGUCAGGUCAAGGUGCAACUAACGGAAUGGAAAGCAAUGGGCUACAAUCUCUAUAUUAGAACAUACGAAAAACUGCAUGAAACACAGUCACGAAGGCGGAUUUAGAAGUAAAAAGAAACCAGAAAAUUCUUUUUAACUAGGCCCUGGGACGCGUACACACCGCCCGUCACCCUCCUCAACUACAUAAGAGGAGGCAAGUCGUAACAUGGUAAGUGUACUGGAAAGUGCACUUGGAUAUCAAAAUGUAGCUUAACUAAAGCAUCUCGCUUACACCGAGAUAGAUGUCAAUAAACCUUGCCAUUUUGAGCCUCAACCCUAGCCCUAACCUAUCCCUCACUUUAACAAACUAACAAA